RNAcentral lists this ribosomal RNA (424 nucleotides) under uncultured prokaryote. Its description in RNAcentral is "bacterial SSU rRNA". It matches the Rfam family "Bacterial small subunit ribosomal RNA", at positions 355 to 796 of the family's 1533-position model. The record is from RNAcentral.
UGGGGAAUAUUGGACAAUGGGCGCAAGCCUGAUCCAGCCAUGCCGCGUGAGUGAAGAAGGCCCUAGGGUUGUAAAGCUCUUUCACCGGUGAAGAUAAUGACGGUAACCGGAGAAGAAGCCCCGGCUAACUUCGUGCCAGCAGCCGCGGUAAUACGAAGGGGGCUAGCGUUGUUCGGAAUUACUGGGCGUAAAGCGCGCGUAGGCGGAUACUUAAGUCAGGGGUGAAAUCCCGAGGCUCAACCUCGGAACUGCCUUUGAUACUGGGUGUCUUGAGUUCGAGAGAGGUAAGUGGAAUUCCGAGUGUAGAGGUGAAAUUCGUAGAUAUUCGGAGGAACACCAGAGGCGAAGGCGGCUUACUGGCUCGAUACUGACGCUGAGGCGCGAAAGCGUGGGGAGCAAACAGGAUUAGAUACCCCCGUAGUCC